GAGGGUACAGCUCAGUGAUAGAGUGCAUGCUUAGCAUGCACAAGGUCCUGGGUUCAAUCCCCAGUACCUCCU
RNAcentral lists this transfer RNA (72 nucleotides) under Camelus bactrianus (Bactrian camel). It matches the Rfam family "tRNA". Rfam says of the family: Transfer RNA (tRNA) molecules are approximately 80 nucleotides in length. Their secondary structure includes four short double-helical elements and three loops (D, anti-codon, and T loops). Lineage: Eukaryota; Metazoa; Chordata; Mammalia; Artiodactyla; Camelidae. RNAcentral also lists the same sequence under 2 other names. The record is from Rfam by way of RNAcentral.